UCCCUCGUGGCUCAAAUGUUAGAGCAUCUGCCUCCAACGUGGGAAACCCAGGUUCGAUCCCUGGGUCGGGAA
Ovis aries (sheep) is the source of this 72-nucleotide transfer RNA. It matches the Rfam family "tRNA". Rfam says of the family: Transfer RNA (tRNA) molecules are approximately 80 nucleotides in length. Their secondary structure includes four short double-helical elements and three loops (D, anti-codon, and T loops). Further hydrogen bonds mediate the characteristic L-shaped molecular structure. tRNAs have two regions of fundamental functional importance: the anti-codon, which is responsible for specific mRNA codon recognition, and the 3' end, to which the tRNAs corresponding amino acid is attached (by aminoacyl-tRNA synthetases). tRNAs cope with the degeneracy of the genetic code in two manners: having more than one tRNA (with a specific anti-codon) for a particular amino acid; and 'wobble' base-pairing, i.e. permitting non-standard base-pairing at the 3rd anti-codon position. NCBI's taxonomy places the organism in Eukaryota, Metazoa, Chordata, Mammalia, Artiodactyla, Bovidae. The record is from Rfam.